RNAcentral lists this ribosomal RNA (425 nucleotides) under uncultured Treponema sp. RNAcentral's name for it is "bacterial SSU rRNA". It matches the Rfam family "Bacterial small subunit ribosomal RNA", at positions 356 to 794 of the family's 1533-position model. The record is from RNAcentral. Lineage: Bacteria; Pseudomonadati; Spirochaetota; Spirochaetia; Treponematales; Treponemataceae.
GGGGAAUAUUGGGCAAUGGGGGGAAACCCUGACCCAGCAACGCCGCGUGAAGGAAGAAGGCCCUCGGGUUGUAAACUUCUUUUACCAGGGACGAAGGACGUGACGGUACCUGGAGAAAAAGCAACGGCUAACUACGUGCCAGCAGCCGCGGUAAUACGUAGGGGGCGAGCGUUGUCCGGAAUUACUGGGCGUAAAGGGUGCGCAGGCGGUUCUGCAAGUCUGGUGUGAAAUGCCGGGGCUCAACCCCGGAACUGCGUUGGAAACUGCAGGACUUGAAUCGCUGAGGGGCAGCCAGAAUUCCAGGUGUAGGGGUGAAAUCUGUAGAUAUCUGGAAGAAUACCAAUGGCGAAGGCAGGCUGCCAGCAGAUGAUUGACGCUGAGGUACGAAGGUGCGGGGAGCAAACAGGAUUAGAUACCCUGGUAGU